This 739-nucleotide ribosomal RNA is filed under the name uncultured organism. RNAcentral's name for it is "bacterial SSU rRNA". It matches the Rfam family "Bacterial small subunit ribosomal RNA", at positions 43 to 826 of the family's 1533-position model. The record is from RNAcentral.
CGUGCCUAAGGUAUGCAAGUCGAAUGCCGAUUUAUCGGCAUGGCAGACGGCUGAGUAAUACAUGGGAAUCUACCUCAAACUCGAGAAUAGCCCAUCGAAAGGUGGUGUAAUACUCGAUAGUUCCGUUUACGGUAAAGCUCCGGCGGUCUGAGAUGAGCCCAUGUCCUAUCAGGUUGUCGGUAGGGUAAUUGCCUACCAAGCCUAUGACGGGUAGCUGGUUUGAGAGGAUGAUCAGCCAGACUGGGACUGCGAUACGGCCCAGACUCCUACGGGAGGCAGCAACUAGGAAUCAUGCGCAAUGGACGAAAGUCUGACGCUGCGACGUCGCGUGAGGGAUGAAGGUCUUCGGAUCGUAAACCUCUUUUAUCUGGGAACAAGUUCUGAGUGUACCAGAUGAAUAAGUGCCUGCCAACCACGUGCCAGAAGCAUCGGUAAUGCGUGGGGCACGAGCGUUAUCCGGAUUUACUGGGCGUAAAGAGAUGCGUAGGCGCCUUUUUAAGUCACUUGUAAAAUCUCCCCGCUCAACGGGGAAACUGCAAGUGAUACUGAAUUGGUUGAGUCAAGUAGAGGAGAGGGGAAUUCCUGGUGGAGCGGUUAAAUGCGUUGAUAUCAGGAGGAAUACCAAGUGCGAAGGCACCUCUCUGGACUUGUACUGACGCUAAGGCUCGAAAGUGUGGGGAGCAAAACGGAUUAGAUACCCGUGUAGUCCACACUGUAAACGAUCCCUGCUAGAUGUUUG